This 200-nucleotide unclassified non-coding RNA is filed under the name uncultured Auriculariales. RNAcentral describes it as "sequence contains ITS2". Lineage: Eukaryota; Fungi; Basidiomycota; Agaricomycetes; Auriculariales. The record is from RNAcentral.
GAAACCUCACCCUCAGUGAUGUCAAAGUCGCUCUGGGUGGACUUGGACCGUGCCGUAGAUGGCUCGUCCUGAAAUGCAUUAGCCUGGUCGUCGGACCGAAGGGCCACGGUGUGAUAAUUCCAUCUGCGCCGAUAAGUGCCCCCGGUGUAAUUCGACUGUUGACCGGCUCACAAUCGUCCGCGAGGACACUUUACUUGACA